RNAcentral lists this ribosomal RNA (468 nucleotides) under Halobacterium sp. I.C30. RNAcentral describes it as "bacterial SSU rRNA". It matches the Rfam family "Archaeal small subunit ribosomal RNA", at positions 42 to 511 of the family's 1478-position model. Lineage: Archaea; Methanobacteriati; Methanobacteriota; Halobacteria; Halobacteriales; Halobacteriaceae. The record is from RNAcentral.
GAUUUAGCCAUGCUAGUUGUGCGGGUUUAGACCCGCAGCGGAAAGCUCAGUAACACGUGGCCAAGCUACCCUGUGGACGGGAAUACUCUCGGGAAACUGAGGUUAAUCCCCGAUAACGCUUUGCUCCUGGAAGGGGCAAAGCCGGAAACGCUCCGGCGCCACAGGAUGCGGCUGCGGUCGAUUAGGUAGACGGUGGGGUAACGGCCCACCGUGCCCAUAAUCGGUACGGGUUGUGAGAGCAAGAGCCCGGAGACGGAAUCUGAGACAAGAUUCCGGGCCCUACGGGGCGCAGCAGGCGCGAAACCUUUACACUGUACGAAAGUGCGAUAAGGGGACUCCGAGUGUGAAGGCAUAGAGCCUUCACUUUUGUACACCGUAAGGUGGUGCACGAAUAAGGACUGGGCAAGACCGGUGCCAGCCGCCGCGGUAAUACCGGUAGUCCGAGUGAUGGCCGAUCUUAUUGGGCCU